RNAcentral lists this ribosomal RNA (460 nucleotides) under uncultured bacterium. RNAcentral describes it as "partial 16S ribosomal RNA". It matches the Rfam family "Bacterial small subunit ribosomal RNA", at positions 338 to 795 of the family's 1533-position model. The record is from RNAcentral.
CCUACGGGAGGCAGCAGUGAGGAAUAUUGGUCAAUGGACGAGAGUCUGAACCAGCCAAGUAGCGUGAAGGAUGACUGCCCUAUGGGUUGUAAACUUCUUUUAUAUGGGAAUAAAAUGUUCCACGUGUGGGAUUUUGUAUGUACCAUAUGAAUAAGGAUCGGCUAACACCGUGCCAGCAGCCGCGGUAAUACGGAGGAUCCGAGCGUUAUCCGGAUUUAUUGGGUUUAAAGGGAGCGUAGGUGGAUUGUUAAGUCAGUUGUGAAAGUUUGUGGCUCAACCGUAAAAUUGCAGUUGAAACUGGCAGUCUUGAGUACAGUAGAGGUGGGCGGAAUUCGUGGUGUAGCGGUGAAAUGCUUAGAUAUCACGAAGAACUCCGAUUGCGAAGGCAGUUCACUGGACUGCAACUGACACUGAGGCUCGAAAGUGUGGGUAUCAAACAGGAUUAGAUACCCGGGUAGUC